AAUAGAUACCCGGGUAGUCCAUGCCGUAAACGUUGGGCACUAGGUGUGGGGCUCAUUCCACGAGUUCCGUGCCGCAGCUAACGCAUUAAGUGCCCCGCCUGGGGAGUACGGCCGCAAGGCUAAAACUCAAAGGAAUUGACGGGGGCCCGCACAAGCGGCGGAGCAUGCGGAUUAAUUCGAUGCAACGCGAAGAACCUUACCAAGGCUUGACAUAUACCGAAAACUCGUAGAGAUACGGGGUCCGCAAGGGCGGUAUACAGGUGGUGCAUGGUUGUCGUCAGCUCGUGUCGUGAGAUGUUGGGUUAAGUCCCGCAACGAGCGCAACCCUCGUCCUAUGUUGCCAGCGGGUAAUGCCGGGGACUCAUAGGAGACUGCCGGGGUCAACUCGGAGGAAGGUGGGGAUGAGGUCAAAUCAUCAUGCCCCUUAUGUCUUGGGCUUCACGCAUGCUACAAUGGCCGGUACAAAGGGCUGCGAUACCGCAAGGUGGAGCGAAUCUCAAAAAGCCGGUCUCAGUUCGGAUUGGGGUCUGCAACUCGACCCC
This 542-nucleotide ribosomal RNA is filed under the name uncultured bacterium. RNAcentral's name for it is "bacterial SSU rRNA". It matches the Rfam family "Bacterial small subunit ribosomal RNA", at positions 777 to 1319 of the family's 1533-position model. The record is from RNAcentral.